GAAUUGACGGGGACCCGCACAAGCAGCGGAGCGUGUGGUUUAAUUCGUUGCUACACGAAGAACCUUACCUGGGUUUGACAUAUAGGUUGUAGGGAACUGAAAGGGACCGACCCUUCGGGGAGCCUAUACAGGUGUUGCAUGGCUGUCGUCAGCUCGUGUCGUGAGAUGUUCGGUUAAGUCCGCUAACGAGCGCAACCCUCGUCGUAUGUUAUAUGUGUCAUACGAGACUGCCGGUAAAAAGCCGGAGGAAGGUGAGGAUGAUGUCAAGUCAGCAUGACCUUUAUAUCCAGGGCUACACACACGCUACAAUGGUCUGUACAAUGGGUAGCCAAGCCGCGAGGCGGAGCCAAUCCUGAAAGCAGGCCUCAGUUCAGAUUGCAGUCUGCAACUCGACUGCAUGAAGCCGGAGUUGCUAGUAACCGCAGGUCAGCAAUACUGCGGUGAAUACGUUCCCGGGUCUU
RNAcentral lists this ribosomal RNA (461 nucleotides) under uncultured Anaerolineaceae bacterium. RNAcentral's name for it is "bacterial SSU rRNA". It matches the Rfam family "Bacterial small subunit ribosomal RNA", at positions 907 to 1382 of the family's 1533-position model. Lineage: Bacteria; Bacillati; Chloroflexota; Anaerolineae; Anaerolineales; Anaerolineaceae. The record is from RNAcentral.